CCUACGGGUGGCUGCAGUGGGGAAUUUUGGACAAUGGGCGCAAGCCUGAUCCAGCCAUGCCGCGUGAGUGAAGAAGGCCUUCGGGUUGUAAAGCUCUUUCGGUGGGGAAGAAAUUGCUUCGGUUAAUACCUGGAGUAGAUGACGGUACCCGCAUAAGAAGCACCGGCUAACUACGUGCCAGCAGCCGCGGUAAUACGUAGGGUGCGAGCGUUAAUCGGAAUUACUGGGCGUAAAGCGUGCGCAGGCGGUUGUAUAAGUCAGAUGUGAAAUCCCCGGGCUCAACCUGGGAACUGCAUUUGAGACUGUACGGCUAGAGUUUGGCAGAGGGGGGUGGAAUUCCACGUGUAGCAGUGAAAUGCGUAGAGAUGUGGAGGAACACCGAUGGCGAAGGCAGCCCCCUGGGCCAAUACUGACGCUCAUGCACGAAAGCGUGGGGAGCAAACAGGAUUAGAUACCCCUGUAGUC
RNAcentral lists this ribosomal RNA (465 nucleotides) under uncultured Rhodocyclaceae bacterium. Its description in RNAcentral is "bacterial SSU rRNA". It matches the Rfam family "Bacterial small subunit ribosomal RNA", at positions 338 to 795 of the family's 1533-position model. Lineage: Bacteria; Pseudomonadati; Pseudomonadota; Betaproteobacteria; Rhodocyclales; Rhodocyclaceae. The record is from RNAcentral.